AUUGAACGCUGGCGGCAGGCCUAACACAUGCAAGUCGAGCGGAUGAAGGGAGCUUGCUCCUGGAUUCAGCGGCGGACGGGUGAGUAAUGCCUAGGAAUCUGCCUGGUAGUGGGGGAUAACGUCCGGAAACGGGCGCUAAUACUGCAUACGUCCUGAGGGAGAAAGUGGGGGAUCUUCGGACCUCACGCUAUCAGAUGAGCCUAGGUCGGAUUAGCUAGUUGGUGGGGUAAAGGCCUACCAAGGCGACGAUCCGUAACUGGUCUGAGAGGAUGAUCAGUCACACUGGAACUGAGACACGGUCCCGACUCCUACGGGAGGCAGCAGUGGGGAAUAUUGGACAAUGGGCGAAAGCCUGAUCCAGCCAUGCCGCGUGUGUGAAGAAGGUCUUCGGAUUGUAAAGCACUUUAAGUUGGGAGGAAGGGCAGUAAGUUAAUACCUUGCUGUUUUGACGUUACCAACAGAAUAAGCACCGGCUAACUUCGUG
This 484-nucleotide ribosomal RNA is filed under the name uncultured bacterium. RNAcentral describes it as "partial 16S ribosomal RNA". It matches the Rfam family "Bacterial small subunit ribosomal RNA", at positions 30 to 507 of the family's 1533-position model. The record is from RNAcentral.